Molecule: ribosomal RNA, 497 nt
Filed under: uncultured bacterium
Lineage: Bacteria
Description: partial 16S ribosomal RNA
Rfam family: Bacterial small subunit ribosomal RNA
Source: RNAcentral
GAUGAACGCUGGCGGCGUGCCUAAUACAUGCAAGUCGAGCGAACAGACGAGGAGCUUGCUCCUCUGACGUUAGCGGCGGACGGGUGAGUAACACGUGGAUAACCUACCUAUAAGACUGGGAUAACUUCGGGAAACCGGAGCUAAUACCGGAUAAUAUAUUGAACCGCAUGGUUCAAUAGUGAAAGACGGUUUUGCUGUCACUUAUAGAUGGAUCCGCGCCGCAUUAGCUAGUUGGUAAGGUAACGGCGUACCAAGGCAACGAUGCGUAGCCGACCUGAGAGGGUGAUCGGCCACACUGGAACUGAGACACGGUCCAGACUCCUACGGGAGGCAGCAGUAGGGAAUCUUCCGGAAUGGGCGAAAGCCUGACGGAGCAACGCCGCGUGAGUGAUGAAGGUCUUCGGAUCGUAAAACUCUGUUAUUAGGGAAGAACAAAUGUGUAAGUAACUAUGCACGUCUUGACGGUACCUAAUCAGAAAGCCACGGCUAACUACGUG